Sesamum indicum (sesame) is the source of this 1410-nucleotide non-coding RNA. The record is from RefSeq and is a predicted model, not a curated record. NCBI's taxonomy places the organism in Eukaryota, Viridiplantae, Streptophyta, Magnoliopsida, Lamiales, Pedaliaceae.
UUCAAAACUUAUAUCAUUCUAAAGUUAUCAAGAUAGUCACGUUAUGCAAUUAGGAGGUUAUAUCAUAUAACAUUGAUGCCUUUUGAUGCAAUUGUACAUCUGUUGCAGCUCCUUUUAUUACCAUAUUGUCAUCCAUUUCUGUCCUAUUCACACACAUCCAUAACUACCUGAAUUUCGAUUCCCCUCUCCUCGUUAAGACUCGAGUUUUUAGCUUCAUGCUCACAACCAAAACUUUUACGGUAAAGGGAGCAAACAUAUUUCCUUUUUCACACUUGUUUAUCUGCAUAUGAUGGAAAGGUGCACAAUAUUUCAGAGAGCCAUGUGCCAUUGCUCCUAUUUAGAGUUCUACCAUGCUUUUCAAAUGUGUAGAUGAUGAUUUCUCUGUUGAACAUGGACAGAUUAUAUUGAGAAGAAGGCAUCUUCCCUUGGGCUGCGAACGCUUUUCGUCCUGACUACACGCACAGCAGAUUGGUUUGUAAGGCGAGGCUUCUCCGAAUGUUCUAUUGACAACAUACCAGAGGAGAGGAGGAAAAAGAUUAAUAUAUCCCGUCGAUCCAAGUACUACAUGAAGAAACUUUUACCUGAUAGGAGUGGCAUUCGUCUAAAUACUGCCGUUGCAUAACAUAAGGAGAUUAUGUUUUGCGACAUUCUUUAGUGUCCAAUUGAGUAUUUCGGCAAGGAAAGCUCAAAAUAGUUUGUCAGAUCUCAUCUUGAUGCAUUAUCCUCCCAAUUCCUGAGGGCAACGGCAUCCGCUGAACUGAAACCAGAAAUUAUGCUUGAGUGAGAUUAUUCAGUGAGAUGCUGUACUCUGGAAUCUGUAGUGAUUUUACCCAUAAAAAAAAAAAAAGAAAUCUUCAGUGAUUUUCACAACGCAUUUCUGCAACACACCAAAGUAUUUUUAAUGCAGUUGAUCGCUGAACAUAAUCAUUUUCUACCUACUAUAGUCUCUGAAAUAAGUAUUUUUAACGGGGGCUUUGUUUUAGAAAAGACGAGAGAAAAUCUUUUAGAAUAAUAUUUUUCUACUUUUUAAUUUACUUUUAAUGAUAUUCAAAUUAUAGUUUCAAAACAGAACAGAUCUUGUUAGGGAAAAAGUUGUUUGAUGGUAUGCAUAUUCCAGUAACAUUUCCAAUUCGUUUUGUGAAAAUUUCAGCCUCAAAUAGAAUGGAGAGAACUGUCCCAUUCAUCUACCACUCUGAUAACACACCUAUCUAGCGAAAGACUCAAAUUUCUUUCUACUCGUGAAAACAAUCUAGAACCCAAACAUCUUGUCUAGAAAAACACAUGACGAAAGAAAAAUGAGGUGAUUAAACCAUAUCUAGACGAAUAAAACAAAGAAGAACGUAUGGCCGGUUUUAUCUGACUUAUUGCUUCAAGGAGCUCAGUCGGAAACAUGAUGCCCAACAGAAGAAA